AUUGUACUCCCUCCGUCCGGAAAUACUUGUCGGAGGAAUGGAUGUAUCUAGGCGUAUUUUAGUUUUAGAUAUAUCCAUUUUUAUGCAUUUCUUCGACAAGUAUUUCAGGAUGGAGGAAGUAAUAU
This is a non-coding RNA of Triticum aestivum (bread wheat), 125 nucleotides long. Lineage: Eukaryota; Viridiplantae; Streptophyta; Magnoliopsida; Poales; Poaceae. The record is from Rfam.